Molecule: ribosomal RNA, 485 nt
Filed under: uncultured bacterium
Lineage: Bacteria
Description: bacterial SSU rRNA
Rfam family: Bacterial small subunit ribosomal RNA
Source: RNAcentral
GGACGAACGCUGGCGGCGUGCCUAACACAUGCAAGUCGAACGGAGUUUUUAUGGAAUGCGGCUUCGGCCAAAUGAAGUUUAACUUAGUGGCGGACGGGUGAGUAACGCGUGAGCAACCUGCCUUACAGAGGGGGACAACAGUUGGAAACGACUGCUAAUACCGCAUAACGUGCCGGAAGGACAUCCUUUUGGUACCAAAGGAGCAAUCCGCUGUAAGAUGGGCUCGCGUCCGAUUAGAUAGUUGGUGAGGUAACGGCCCACCAAGUCGACGAUCGGUAGCCGGACUGAGAGGUUGAACGGCCACAUUGGGACUGAGACACGGCCCAGACUCCUACGGGAGGCAGCAGUGGGGGAUAUUGCACAAUGGAGGAAACUCUGAUGCAGCAACGCCGCGUGAGGGAAGAAGGUUUUCGGAUUGUAAACCUCUGUUUUUAGUGAAGAAACAAAUGACGGUAGCUAAAGAGGAAGCCACGGCUAACUACGUG